GUGCCAGCCGCCGCGGUAAUACGGAGGAUGCAAGCGUUAUCCGGAAUGAUUGGGCGUAAAGCGUCCGUAGGUGGUCAUGUAAGUCUGUGGUUAAAGCGUGGGGCUCAACCCCAUAAAGGCCAUGGAAACUACACGACUAGAGUCAAGUAGGGGUAGAGGGAAUUCCCAGUGUAGCGGUGAAAUGCGUAGAGAUUGGGAAGAACACCGGUGGCGAAAGCGCUCUACUGGACUUAAACUGUCACUGAGGGACGAAAGCUAGGGGAGCGAAAGGGAUUAGAUACCCCUGUAGUCCUAGCCGUAAACGAUGGAUACUAGGUGUUGCCCGUAUCGACCCGGGCAGUGCCGUAGCUAACGCGUUAAGUAUCCCGCCUGGGGAGUACGCACGCAAGUGUGAAACUCAAAGGAAUUGACGGGGGCCCGCACAAGCGGUGGAGUAUGUGGUUUAAUUCGAUGCAACGCGAAGAACCUUACCAGGGCUUGACAUGUCUGGAAUCUCUGGGAAACUAGAGAGUGCCUUCGGGAACCAGAACACAGGUGGUGCAAGGCUGUCGUCAGCUCGUGUCGUGAGAUGUUGGGUUAAGUCCCGCAACGAGCGCAACCCUCGUUUUUAGUUGCCAUCAUUAAGUUGGGCACUCUAGAAAGACUGCCGGUGACAAACCGGAGGAAGGUGGGGAUGACGUCAAGUCAGCAUGCCCCUUACGCCCUGGGCUACACACGUACUACAAUGCUAUGGACAAAGGGCAGCCAACUGGCGACAGUGCGCUAAUCCCAUAAACCAUGGCUCAGUUCAGAUUGCAGGCUGCAACUCGCCUGCAUGAAGGCGGAAUCGCUAGUAAUCGCAGGUCAGCAUACUGCGGUGAAUCCGUUCCCGGGCCUUGUACACACCGCCCGUCACACCAUGGGAGUUGGUCACGCCCGAAGUCGUUACUCUAACCCUUGUGGAAGAGGACGCCGAAGGUAGGGCCGAUGACUGGGGUGAAGUCGUAACAAGGUAACC
This 997-nucleotide ribosomal RNA is filed under the name uncultured cyanobacterium. RNAcentral describes it as "bacterial SSU rRNA". It matches the Rfam family "Bacterial small subunit ribosomal RNA", at positions 505 to 1501 of the family's 1533-position model. The record is from RNAcentral. Lineage: Bacteria; Bacillati; Cyanobacteriota.